Anolis carolinensis (green anole) is the source of this 1458-nucleotide long non-coding RNA. RefSeq lists it as uncharacterized. The transcript has 2 exons. The record is from RefSeq and is a predicted model, not a curated record. Lineage: Eukaryota; Metazoa; Chordata; Lepidosauria; Squamata; Anolidae.
GAUAAUAUAAGAUUAGAAAUAUACAGUAGUCUCACUUAUCCAACGUAAACAGGCCGGCAGGAUAAGUGAAUAUGUUGGAUAAUAAGAAGGGAUUCAGUAAAAGCCAAUUAAACAUCAAAUUAGGUAAUCGUUAUACAAAUUAAGCACCAAAACAUCAUAUUAUACAACAAAUUUGACAGAAAAAGUAGUUCCAUGCGCAGUAAUGCUAUGUAGUAUUUACAGUAGUAUCUCACUUAUCCAACACUCACUUAUCCAACGUUCUGGAUUAUCCAAUGCAUUUUUGUAGUCAAUGCUUUCAAUAUAUCGUGAUAUUUUGGUGCUAAAUUCAUAAAUACAGUAAUUACUAUAUAGCAUUACUGUGUACUGAACUACUUUUUCUGACAAAUUUGUUGUCUAACAUGAUGUUUUGGUUGUUACGGUUGAGCCUUAUGGCUCUGAUUCUGGGAGACGUGGUCGUAAGACUCCUCGGGAGUCAGACACUCUCGAGGAGCGAGAAAGGAAGCGGCUGCGGGACUUAUUUGCAGAACCAUCUGACGAGGACUCCUUUGAGGGUUUUACUGAGAGAAUGGAGGAAGAGAUGGUUAGCUCAGAGGAGGAUGACAUGGAAUGGACUCGUGUGAGAGAGGAUUUGGGUGCCACCGGCAAUGAUAGUAUGGAAGGCGAUUGGGGACCUUCAGGAUUAGACCUGUGGACAAGCUGGAGGGAUGGAACGGGAUCCACAGCUGGGGAUGCUGUGGGGCGUAGUCAAAGGUGUUUCAGCUCUGAUGAGGAGGAUGAUGAUGAGGCACCUGGAAUUAGGGUAACAGCUGAUAGCGAUGAGGAGUUGUAAACUGGCAUAAAAUGGGGUUUAGAAUCUAGGGCUAAUUGCGUUGGGCAAGGUAAUCUGGACGAACGCUUGGGCUCUUGCUGGGAAUUUCCUGAAGACGGGUGUGUUUCGUUUGCUGAAUACCUUGGACCUCCGUCGUCUUCUUGACGGACGCCAAUUGUUUACUCUGGACUGACUGACUGACUGACUGACUACGACCUCGGACUAUCCUUCCUGUGGCUAUCGUUGGAACUGGUGAACUACAAACAUCUGUACUUGGCUGUCGACCUUCGGACCGGAUUGGGACCUCGCUGACCGCUGCUGCCCCUGAUUGAUGUGUUUAAACCCGGAGAUUGUUUGCUGCGUGGAGGAGUAACUUCUUAGUUACUCAAUAUCAGCUUUUGGUAGCAGAGAAGUAUCUGCUGCCAGUUAUUUGUGUUUCUUUGAACCUUUGUGCACCAGCUUUUGUUUGUUUAAAGUCCCAGGCUGAAGUAAGCAUUUUUAGUUUAACCCGGAUUAAACUCCAGUUUAAUCCGGUUUAUCUUUUGAACGUUUUCUAGUAUCUUUUCACUUCAAAGGCCAAUGUUUGCCUAGCCCUUGUCUUUUACGGGCGUUUUUGGUUCUGUAACUCCAAUAAACUUUGUUGAAUCUUA